GAACAAAGUAAGUAAGGGCAGACGGUGGAUGCCUAGGCUCUCGGAGGCGAAGAAGGACGUGAUAAGCUGCGAAAAGCUGCGGGAAUCGGCACAUACGAAUUGAUCCGCAGAUAUCCGAAUGGGGCAACCCGUCAGGCCAAGGCCUGACACAUGAAUUGAUUUCAUGAGCGAACGCGGGGAACUGAAACAUCUCAUUACCCGUAGGAGAAGAAAACAAAAGUGAUUCCCUCAGUAGUGGCGAGCGAACGGGGAUUAGCCCAAACCGGCUUUGUUUCGGCAAAGUCGGGGUAAUAGGACUUCGACAAAAGUUUAAUGAUAGAUAUAGGAGAACCUACUGGAAAGUAUGGCCGAAGAGCAUGAAAGCUGCGUAUCCGACAUAUCGAACAAUAGACGACGGAGCACCUGAGUAGCGCGGGACACGAGACAUCCUGUGUGAAUUGGCGGGGCCCAUCCCGUAAGGCUAAAUACUCCCGAGAGACCGAUAGUGAACCAGUACCGUGAGGGAAAGGUGAAAAGAACCUCGAACAGAGGAGUGCAAUAGACCCUGAACCCGUCUGCCUACAAGCGGUAGGAGCGCCAUUAAGGUGUGACUGCGUGCCUUUUGCAUAAUGAACCUACGAGUUACUGUUUGUGGCAAGGUUAAUUGUUAUAAUCAAGACAAGGAGCCGAAGCGAAAGCGAGUCUUAAAAGGGCGCCCAUUUAGUCACGAGCAGUAGACGCGAAACCAAGUGAUCUACCCUUGGUCAGGUUGAAGGUUAGGUAACACUAACUGGAGGACCGAAUCGGUAAGCGUUGAAAAGCUUUCGAAUGAACUGAGGGUAGGGGUGAAAGGCUAAUCAAACUUGGAGAUAGCUCGUACUCCCCGAAAUGCAUUUAGGUGCAGCCUGUUGGAUGUUAUCAUGAGGUAGAGCGACUGAUUGGAUGCGAGGGUUUCACCGCCUAUCAAGUCCAGAUAAACUCCGAAUGCAUGAUAAUUGACCGAUGGAGUGAGGGCAUGGGUGCUAAGGUCCAUGUCCGAGAGGAGAAGAAUCCGGACCACCGGCUAAGGUCCCGAAAUAAUUGCUAAGUUGUAAAAACGAAGUCAAGAUGCAGAGACAGCUAGGAUGUUGGCUUGGAAGCAGCCAUUCAUUUAAAGAGUGCGUAACAGCUCACUAGUCGAGGAUUUUGGCAUGGAUAAUACACGGGCAUAAGCAAUUUACCGAAGCCGUGGGAUAUAAUAAUAUAUCGGUAGGGGAGCAUUCCAGCGACGUAGAAGGAAAAAGGGCGACUUUUUCUGGAGUUUCUGGAAAAGCAAAUGUAGGUAUAAGUAACGAUAAAGGGGGCGAGAACCCCCCUCGCCGAAAGACCAAGGUUUCCUGAUCAACGCUAAUCGGAUCAGGGUUAGUCGGGGCCUAAGGAUAAGCCGAAUGGCGAUUCCGAUGGACGAACCGGUUAAUAUUCCGGUACUGAUACAGAGAGCGAUGUGGUGACGGAGAAGUGACAGUCCGGCCGUCUGACGGAAUAGGCGGUUAAAGGGUGUAGAUGUUGAUCUGGGUAGGCAAAUCCGCCCUGAGAGUCGAACCUGACAGUACCCGGAGUACAAGUACGAAGGGAUAAGGACGUAACCCGGCUCCCAAGAAAACCCGCUAAGCAUAUUUCUGUGUUACCCGUACCGUAAACCGACACAGGUGGUUGGGUUGAGUAUACUAAGGCGCUCGAGAGAUUCGCGGUUAAGGAACUAGGCAAAAUGGUCCUGUAACUUCGGGAGAAAGGACGCCUGUCUCCGGACAGGCCGCAGAAACCAGGCCCAGGCGACUGUUUAACAAAAACACAAGGCUAUGCAAAAAAGCAAUUUGAGGUAUAUAGUCUGACACCUGCCCGGUGCUGGAAGGUUAAGAGGAGGAGUCAUCGUCAAGAGAAGCUCUGAAUUGAAGCCCCAGUAAACGGCGGCCGUAACUAUAACGGUCCUAAGGUAGCGAAAUUCCUUGUCGGGUAAGUUCCGACCUGCACGAAUGGUGUAACGAUCUGGGCACUGUCUCAACCGCGAUCUCGGUGAAAUUGUAGUAUCGGUGAAGAUGCCGAUUACCCGCAACGGGACGAAAAGACCCCGUGAACCUUUACUAUAGCUUUACAUUGUAUUUGGGCAUCAGAUGUGUAGGAUAGGCCGGAGGCAGAGAAGCGGGUACGCCAGUAUUCGUGGAGUCGAUGUUGAAAUACGGCCCUUUUGAUGUUUGGAUACUAACUCGCGGCGUGCGAGGACAGUGUAUGGUGGGUAGUUUGACUGGGGUGGUCGCCUCCAAAAGCGUAACGGAGGCUUCUAAAGGUACCCUCAGGCCGAUUGGUAACCGGUCGCAGAGUGUAAUGGCACAAGGGUGCUUGACUGGGAGACAAACAAGUCGCACAGGUAGGAAACUAGAGCAUAGUGAUCCGGUGGUUCCGCAUGGAAGGGCCAUCGCUCAAAGGAUAAAAGGUACUCCGGGGAUAACAGGCUGAUCACUCCCAAGAGCUCAUAUCGACGGAGUGGUUUGGCACCUCGAUGUCGGCUCGUCACAUCCUGGGGCUGGAGAAGGUCCCAAGGGUUGGGCUGUUCGCCCAUUAAAGUGGCACGCGAGCUGGGUUCAGAACGUCGUGAGACAGUUCGGUCUCUAUCUGUUGUGGGCGCAGGAAAUUUGCGAGGGUCUGACACUAGUACGAGAGGACCGUGUUGGACAGACCCCUGGUUUACCGGUUGUACCGCCAGGUGCACCGCCGGGUAUCCACGUCUGGUAAGGAUAAGUGCUGAAAGCAUCUAAGCACGAAGCCGGCCUCAAGAUAAGAUUUCCAUAAAUAGGGUGGUUAAAGACUAUGACCUUGAUAGGCUGCAGGUGUAUGAUUGGUAACAAUUAAGCCGAGCAGUACUAAUAGCCCGAAACUUUUGUGCAU
Molecule: ribosomal RNA, 2901 nt
Filed under: Porphyromonas gingivalis
Lineage: Bacteria; Pseudomonadati; Bacteroidota; Bacteroidia; Bacteroidales; Porphyromonadaceae
Description: 23S ribosomal RNA
Rfam family: Bacterial large subunit ribosomal RNA
Source: RNAcentral